Molecule: ribosomal RNA, 103 nt
Filed under: Campylobacterota bacterium
Lineage: Bacteria; Pseudomonadati; Campylobacterota
Source: RNAcentral
GAGAGGAGGUCAUACCCAGUUCCAUUUCGAACCUGGAAGUCAAGCUCCUCAUCGCCGAUAAUACUGCAGGGUCCCCUUGUGGAAACGUAGGUCGCCGCCAACU